GAUCUGGCUCAGGAUGAACGCUAGCGACAGGCUUAACACAUGCAAGUCGAGGGGCAGCAUGAGGUAGCAAUACCUUGAUGGCGACCGGCGCACGGGUGAGUAACGCGUAUGCAACCUGCCCGAUACCGGGGUAUAGCCCAUGGAAACGUGGAUUAACACCCCAUAGUACUUUUAUCCUGCAUGGGAUGUGAGUUAAAUGUUCAAGGUAUCGGAUGGGCAUGCGUCCUAUUAGUUAG
This 236-nucleotide ribosomal RNA is filed under the name uncultured bacterium. Its description in RNAcentral is "partial 16S ribosomal RNA". It matches the Rfam family "Bacterial small subunit ribosomal RNA", at positions 15 to 248 of the family's 1533-position model. The record is from RNAcentral.